UCAGAUGUCCGGGGCCGCACGCGUGUCACACUGAAGGAAUCAGCGUGUUCUCUCCCGGUCCGCCAGGACCGGGUAACCCGUUGAACCUCCUUCGUGAUGGGGAUAGGGGCUUGUAAUUGUUCCCCUUGAACGAGGAAUGCCCAGUAAGCACGGGUCACUACCCCGUGUUGAUUACGUCCCUGCCCUUUGUCCACACCGCCCGUCGCUAGUACCGAUUGAAUGAUUCAGUGAGGUCUUUGGACUGGCGCUCGGAUGCGGUCCCCUCCGGGGGAACCGGACCGGCGCGCCGGAAAGACGACCGAACUCGAUCCUUUAGAGGAACUAAAAGUCGUAACAAGGUUUCC
This 344-nucleotide ribosomal RNA is filed under the name Smeringopus sp. DNA100437892. RNAcentral's name for it is "bacterial SSU rRNA". It matches the Rfam family "Eukaryotic small subunit ribosomal RNA", at positions 1473 to 1804 of the family's 1831-position model. The record is from RNAcentral. Lineage: Eukaryota; Metazoa; Arthropoda; Arachnida; Araneae; Pholcidae. RNAcentral also lists the same sequence under 1 other name.